Molecule: ribosomal RNA, 274 nt
Filed under: uncultured bacterium
Lineage: Bacteria
Description: partial 16S ribosomal RNA
Rfam family: Bacterial small subunit ribosomal RNA
Source: RNAcentral
AUACGGAGGGGACUAGCGUUGUUCGGAAUUACUGGGCGUAAAGAGUUCGUAGGCGGACUGAUAAGUAAGAGUUGAAAUCCCAGGGCUCAACCCUGGAACUGCCUUUUAAACUGUCAGUCUAGAGACCGGAAGAGGUUAGGGGAAUACCUAGUGUAGAGGUGAAAUUCGUAGAUAUUAGGUGGAACACCAGUGGCGAAGGCGCCUAACUGGUCCGGUACUGACGCUGAGGAACGAAAGCGUGGGGAGCAAACAGGAUUAGAUACCCUAGUAGUCC